This is a long non-coding RNA of Camarhynchus parvulus, 3881 nucleotides long. NCBI's taxonomy places the organism in Eukaryota, Metazoa, Chordata, Aves, Passeriformes, Thraupidae. The record is from Ensembl.
CGUGCUGGGUUUUCUUUCUAAAUUUAAAAAAUGAUCUAUUUAUUUACCUGUUUAGUGAAUUCCGGUGCGUUACCGAGUGCUGCGGUGUUACCAUCCAGUUUAUCUCCAAUAUUCACGUUUUAUGAGUGCUCUUUUCCAGUUGAAGAUGUCAAGAGUUAUCUGCUUUCCAGAUCUGAAUGGAAUUCUUCUGCAUCAGAACAGUUGAUAACUUAUCCUUGGGAGAUGAAGAAAGUCAUGUUGCAGUUCCUUUGAGAAGUUUAAGGACUUCAGCAGCUGUAGAUACUUUUUCCUAUUUAAAUGCCUAUGACCAGGUAUCAUAUCAUAUUGCCAAAAUCUGAGACUCAGACUGUCUUGUACAGUGUUAGUGGCAGAUACAUUGAAUGGAGUGGGGAGUGUUAGGACUUGGCACUCUGUUAAAAAUAGUAUUUUGAGAUAAAUUAUUUGUUGCACUGUUGGAAGGCUUGUUCGGGAACGAGCAUAAUGGGUUAGUACUAACAUCCAUCUUGCCCAGUACUUUGAUCCUGACAGUUUUACAGAGGAACUCAUUUUGGAGCCAGUGCCAGUCUCCAUUCUGUGUUGGCAAGAAGCCUAUUCUUGAUCUUCUAAAGAUUUUAACUCUGAAGUGUAAGGCUUGGUAUCUUUAAAAAUAAUUCUUAUUCCUAUGGAUGUAUUAUGAAAACUUCUGUUCCACCUUUACAUAUUGGUAGGCUUGUUUCAGUGACUUCCUAUAUGUGAAUUUUACUGACACUGUAUGAUUAUAUUUUUUUCCUUAAAAAUAGAUUGUUUUCUCUUUUUCUUGACAGGAGGGACAGCUGUUCCUGCUCAGCCCUUUCAGUAUCAUAGUUUCAUUUCUCUUCAGUUAAUGUAAAUAUCUGGUGAGCUGUACUGUUUGCAAAGAGUAAAGAGGUUCUGUGUCCAUUUGAAUGUGAUAACUCACUGUGGGAAAAGCUGAGUGUAGCUUCAUCUUGUGCUACACAGGCAACUCAGGACAACAGGUCAUUUGAGAAAGUCAGUCUACAGAUAUCAUUUAACCACUUAUAUUUUUGCAUACUCUUUUUAAAGGAGAUUUUGGUAAUAGCUGGCAGUAUGUCUUUGAAUCAGAGCAUUGACAUUCAGUAUUGUCAGUGAAGAUUCUCAGACUGUGUAUGAAGAUACUGUAUACACGGUUGAAAUGGUAGCAGCUCCUUACAAAUAAUUUGGGUUUAGGGCCGGUUGUUUCCCACAAAAGGGAAAAAAGAUACUGUAAUUGUUUCAGUAAGCUAGUGUGAUUUUUCUUUGUCCUCCUUCACUUUUGCAUAGUUCCCUAGACCACUUUCCAUAGGACUGCUCAGCAGAAAGCAGAGGUCACCAAAUUGAUGCUUAAAGUUGUUGAACUUCUGUAAGAAAUGUAGUUUGGUUCUCCUGCAUGAUGUUUACAUUUUUGUGUGUUUGUUGUGGUUUGGGAGGGGUUUUGUUUGUUUUUCUAAAUGCAAAGCAAGUGCUUUGAUUCCCUGUGGUUGGGGAAACUGUGCUAAACUUAGGCUUUACUCUUGUCAGGUUGCCUGUCCCUGUGCUAACUUGAAAACUUGAAGAGGUGACCAUUUGCUGUGACUUAAUGAUGUUUAUGCUCUCUCCUAUGGAUCUCUCCUCCUUUUCCUUCCCUGAAGCAACAUCACAAAAGGAAUACACUGUGCAAGAUUUUCUCCUUGCAGUUAAUAGUACCAAGUGCUUAUUUUGAUGAGAAAAUGUUCUUUAAAACAUUCUAGAAUAAGAAAAGAAAAUGCUCUGCUGUGUUACCAUUGUUGUGUGCCUAAUCCUGAAAAAGAGAGAACUUUGCCCCAAACACUUUACAGUUUGUUUGGGAUCCAGCCAGUGUAUGUAAUUGGAAAUUGAAUUUCCAGUCAGGAAAGGAAAAUGAAGGGAGAAUAAAGGAAACAUCAGUAAUGUGUUGGACAAAUGAUAUAAAAUUACUGUAACUCUUUACUGCCCAUCCAUUUAAGAGAGGUGUUAUUGCAGGACUAAUCUUGGGGGAUCUGAAAGAACCAAAUGUUAAGAACUUCACUUGAACAAGAUGAUGUAUUUUUACAUGUGGAAAAAAGGUGUAAGUUGUGGUGUAGUAACCUGAAGUGGCAGCUUUUUUUGCUGUAUGUCUUAGGCCUUGGACUGUCAGAACAUUUUAUGCUGUAGCAUACUGGUACCUUUUGCUAAAUUUUGUUCUCCAUAGCUUAUCCUACCUGGCUUCUUGUGAUUUAAGGGUGGGGGAAGGAGGGAAGUGUAAAGUGGAAAGUAACACUGUCUAGGGCCAAAAGAAGGUCCCUGAUGUAUUACAAGAGUUUGUAUUUCUGCUUUCUAUCUUGAUGUUUCUAUAGAAAAGUCUACACUGCUUCUUAGAAGUCCCUGUGUUAUGGAGCUGUGCUGGAUUUUGAAGGUCAGUGCUGCUGGACUGUGUAGAUAUCAAAACAUUAGUGCUAUUUAAGAGUCAUAUCUUUUCCUACUGUAACUACUGUUUGGCUCAUGUAAUGAUCCAUAGUUCAGAUAUACAGUUUAGGAAAGAUCAGCAAGAAGUUCCAUUUUGAGGAUAUCUCUAAGAAGGAGUUGCAAACAACAAAAAUAUAUGAGAAAAAAUUAAUUAAUUAUUAUAAGUAAGAUUUACUUUUCCACAUGGAAAUUGUUAUUAUAAUACCAUUUCACUGGGAUUUUCUAGGAGUAGAAAUGGUUCUCUUAAAAGUAUCCUGUUAAAAAACCCAGCAGCUCAACAACAAAUGAAUCAAUAUGGCUGUGUCUGGCUCUUCAAGUUGUAUUGUACAGUGUUUCCAGGAAUUAUGUUCUCUCUUCUCCUGCAUGAGGCAGAUAAUGACUACAUAAAUGUAAAACUGAAAUCUGCAAUUUUGCAUUUGAGGGUAUGGAUCAGCACAUAAAGGGUCAAUCUACAGUAGCAAAAGUGUCCUUGGAAAGAAUGAACUGGUCACAAAAUUUCUGCUGAAGUGUUUGUUAAACUGAGAGGAAAAACAAAAGCUCAUGCCUACACAACUUCAGGGUGAAAAUGCUGGAUACCACUAGGACCUUGCUAUUGUUGGUUUCCACACGGUUUUUAGAAAAACACCCACUCAACUUCACUCUCAGCUAGUGCUUUAAAUUCUCUUAUUGCUAGAGAUGGUGUUUUUACUUGCUCUUAUGUAGUUCACUAUCUUCCAUCUAAAUUACAUCCCUUUUAGUGAACGUGGCUUUUGUCCUCGGUUAAACUAAAUAAAACUUGAAAUAUGUUACAGUCUGGGAACCUAUUAUGAGGUCCAUUUGUGUUAGACACAUAUUGUUCUACAAAACCAAAGAGAUGACCCAGGUUUCAGAGUUACACUCUGAGCCCACUGCCAGAGAUCCCUCCCUAUGGAUACUGCAGAACUGGCAAGGGCAUUUUUGAUAUGUGGUGUUCUGCUGGUUUAUUGUGUAAACAUACACUUCUAACAAGUGCGUUCCCACCCCAUCCACUCCUUCCCUAAUUUCACCUUCCCAUGUGCCACAUGCUGUAUUUUAGUUUGGUAGCUGCAGAUGGGUCUGGACAUUCUAAAAGAAUGUACUGAUACCUCUCUGCACUGUGUGACUUUACAAAGAAGCUUUUGUAUUAAUUAACUGAUAGCAGUCUUUGCUUCACAAUAAUAGAUGGAAGCAAAAAAAAGAAUCCUCUUUUACUUGUAAAAAAAUUAACCAAAACUGGAAGAGACAAACCUCCCUCCCAGCAAGUAUUCAAGUGUUUAUGAAAAUCAAUAACUCAUGUGUUACUGGUUACUAGGUGUGAAUAUGAGUCCAUUACUGAUAAAGACCAUGGAAAAAACUGCUUUUAAGAUAUAAUCAAAUUUAGAAAAUCAGUAAUUUUUUUCUCAGUGCAAUUGCUGGAGAUAACAAUA